GUGGGUUCAAGCCGGUAGUACCGUCGCCCUCGUUGCCGAAAAACCCAACGAACUCACACUGUCGACACAGUUACAGCUCAUCGAAAUACUGGAGAAUGUGACAGCAAAUCUCAUUCGAGUGUCGCUGCUCAUACCGAGGCAGCAGUACACCCUCGUUUGCAAUGAUAUCUUACGCACAGUGGAUAGUCUACAACAAGCAGCGGUCCAUGACAAGAGAAGUGCCGACAGCGCCUCA
This is a long non-coding RNA of Acanthaster planci (crown-of-thorns starfish), 235 nucleotides long. The record is from RefSeq and is a predicted model, not a curated record. Lineage: Eukaryota; Metazoa; Echinodermata; Asteroidea; Valvatida; Acanthasteridae.